UGGCUUAAAAGCUGUCGUUUUAAAAUUUCCUAAACCACCCUAAAAGAAACUGACGUCUCUACCAUAUCAAAGUCUAAACCUUUAACCCCAAAUCGAAGCCAUACAUCCCGGUGGUUUGGUCUUUCCAUCUUUAUGCAAUUUGCACUUCUCAUCCCAGUGACUGGACUAUCUUUAGGGGUUUUGGUGAAGUUUUUCUUGAGAUUGACUGUGGAAGGAGCACGGUGGUGAUUGAAAAUAAAAAUUAUGUCCGACGGCUCAAUCAAAAUUUUAACAUAAGACAGCAGCGCAGCCACUUGAAUUUUUGAGCUUGCGAAAGUCAAUCAUUUCACAUGGUUACAGGUUAGUCUCCUUCUCUCUCGUGAAGUUGUGUCUUCACUUUUGAAAGGAUUUACCUUUCUCUAUGGGGCGACUGAUCAUAUGCGGUCAACAAGGCCAAUGAGUUUUCCUGAGGAUCCUUUGCGAACCCCAUGACUGGUAGUGGUACGUUUGAAUUUACUGGUUUUAUUUAGAAUACAUGGAAUGAUCUAAUCUUUGAUUACUCUGUCAGACGUUAAAACUUUUGAUUCUUAAGCUUAUGCUUUUCCAAGUUAACUCUCAACCCCCUUCAUUUGUUCUAUUUCAACAUGAGCUAGACACAACAACUUAACGUGUAUUUGUGUUUUCCUCGAUAUAUUCGUGCAGCCAUCAGCUACUCUGUAUAUUUAUUUAUUUUCCCAUUCCAGUUCCACAAUUUUGCUUGGAAGUUUGAAGCUCUGUCUCAGUCAUCAUGUCAGCUUUAAGCUUCUCAUCUCAAGUCAACUAAAGCUCGCUCUUCUUCAUCUUUAAGGGAAUGUUCCUAAUAGAUAACAAUAUGCAUCUCAUUUAUUUAACCUUUCUCUCUUUAGCUUAGUAAGUUGAUGGGUUAAGUACUUAAGUGGUAUUGAGUUUGAGUUACUUUGUCACCAUCUGUGUUUUCCCCAGUGGGUUUUAUAUUUUUAUCGAAUAAAAUUGGCAGUAACAAAACAAA
Molecule: long non-coding RNA, 1006 nt
Organism: Raphanus sativus (radish)
Lineage: Eukaryota; Viridiplantae; Streptophyta; Magnoliopsida; Brassicales; Brassicaceae
Exons: 2
Source: RefSeq, a predicted model, not a curated record